This 68-nucleotide transfer RNA is filed under the name Bos taurus (domestic cattle). It matches the Rfam family "tRNA". From Rfam's summary of the family: Transfer RNA (tRNA) molecules are approximately 80 nucleotides in length. Their secondary structure includes four short double-helical elements and three loops (D, anti-codon, and T loops). Lineage: Eukaryota; Metazoa; Chordata; Mammalia; Artiodactyla; Bovidae. RNAcentral also lists the same sequence under 5 other names. The record is from Rfam by way of RNAcentral.
GAUAUAAUGGCUCAGACGGUAAAGCGUCUGCCUGCAACGCGGGAGACCCAGGUUUGAUCCCUGGGUCA